This 1752-nucleotide long non-coding RNA is filed under the name Malus domestica (apple). Its description in RNAcentral is "long non-coding RNA (MDOM_LNC017818)". The record is from RNAcentral. Lineage: Eukaryota; Viridiplantae; Streptophyta; Magnoliopsida; Rosales; Rosaceae.
AAAGUUUUUUUCUUUUUCUCUCGGAUAACACACACACACGCACAUAACCAUACACACACACACACAUAACCAUAUACACACACACACACACACAAAACCAUGGUUUCAUACAAAACCGUGUGCCAAAACCGUGUGCCACACACACACACACCCUCAAUCCUUCCUUCUCUCUCAAAUCGUCUCGAUCCUUCAUUCUCUCUCUUCUCUCUCUGAGUCUUCUCCCUUCCUGUAAUUGUUCUCAGUCUUCUCCCUUCCUGUAAUUGUUCUCAGUCUUCUCCCUUCCCCCUUCUCCAGUUCUUCCACACACACACACAGACAUCAUCUCUCGAAUCUCGAUCCAUCUCUCGAUCCUCCUCGUCCGCGUCUCCCUCUGCUCCUCCCAUCUCACCCGCCCUAAACCCAGCCGUCGACACCACUCCAUAACCGCCUUCUAAACCACCUUGUUCCAUGGAGAAGCCGUGUCGUUAGUCCCAGUCGUCGAGUCGUAACUAUCGCGUCAUCGCAAAUCAACGGUUGUGGAGAAACUGAGUGGAGGCAGCGGACACCGGACGAUGGACCGGAAUUCGUCGUAGUCGUCGGUGAGGAGCACGACGUUGUCCCAGCCGUCUUGGAUUCGUGAGGAAGACGACGUUCCCAGGCUCCUACUACCAUAUUCUUCUCGGCUUGUAAUUUAAUUUUUGUACAGAUUUCGAAUUUUCUGCAUGUUGCACCAUUUUUGUACUGAAUUUGAUUUUAGGGAUUUAGGAAUUAGGGAUUCAGUUCAUUUGCUUUGAAUUCGAAUUUGGGGAUUUAGGGAUUCAGUUCAUUUGCUUUGAAAUCGAAUUUGGGGAUUUAGGGAUUCGGUUAAUUUGCUCCGGCGUUCUUCUCCGAUUUGAACAGUGCCAAAAUAUCGCGAUAGUUUCGAAAAUAUCGCGAUAUUUUGACGAAAACACUUUGGAUAGUUAAAAAAAUAUCGGACAAAAAAAAAACGAUAAUAUCGGCGAAAUAUCGCCGAUAUUAUCGAUAUUUUCUUCACUGAUAAAUACAUGUUAUGGAUAACUCGGCCCCCAAAGAGUUCCUGCAAAAUAGAUUUAAAAGCAUUACAAUAAAGUAUUAUUGAUCGUAUAGCAAUGAGUAGAGAUCAAACUCUCAUUAAGAACCGUAAAAUUAUACAGAUCUAUAAAACCGUUAGAUUUCGUGUCAAAGAUCAUGACAUGCAUUAAAACUCAAGGAUUGUCAACGUAAUCGUUUACCUACAUUUGAUUUAUUUUAAUCUGAUAAUUUUUUAUUUUAAGAUUGGUGAUUUAUCUACCUUGUGAGAUGUAAUGUUAGUUAGAAGCUAUUUUUCUUAAAAUAAUUAAUAAGUCAGAAGGCAGUUGGAUAUACUAUAUGUUCUGUAUUAAAUUUUCAACUCAGUUAGAAUUUUAACAAAUCUUAAUAAACUGACUAGUGCUGUCAGAUUCCUUAUGGAACUUCAUUCACAUACAAAUGAUUUUCAUGGAAAAAAGAUUUGGCUUUUUAAGAUUGAAGAGGAAAUUUUCCUUAAGAUACUUUGUAAUUGAUUAAGGGAACUUCGUUCUUAUAGUCAGAACCAUUCAUAUUGUAAAUCAUUCUAUAAAGAUCACCUUUGUAAAAAAUCAAUUAAAGCUAAGGUUGUUAGUCAAUCAAUUUUGACAAAUAAAUAGACGGUUCUUAAUGUUUUUACCUCAUCCAUCUAUUUAUUUUUAUAUAGUUUGAUGACUAACUAUCUCAUAUUUUAUUUAUUUUUUACAG